GAUGAACGCUGGCGGCGUGCCUAAUACAUGCAAGUCGAGCGAACAGACGAGGAGCUUGCUCCUCUGACGUUAGCGGCGGACGGGUGAGUAACACGUGGAUAACCUACCUAUAAGACUGGGAUAACUUCGGGAAACCGGAGCUAAUACCGGAUAAUAUAUUGAACCGCAUGGUUCAAUAGUGAAAGACGGUUUUGCUGUCACUUAUAGCUGGAUCCGCGCCGCAUUAGCUAGUUGGUAAGGUAACGGCUUACCAAGGCAACGAUGCGUAGCCGACCUGAGAGGGUGAUCGGCCACACUGGAACUGAGACACGGUCCAGACGCCUACGGGAGGCAGCAGUAGGGAAUCUGCCGCAAUGGGCGAAAGCCUGACGGAGCAACGCCGCGUGAGUGAUGAAGGUCUUCGGAUCGUAAAACUCUGUUAUUAGGGAAGAACAAAUGUGUAAGUAACUAUGCACGUCUUGACGGUACCUAAUCAGAAAGCCACGGCUAACUACGUG
This 497-nucleotide ribosomal RNA is filed under the name uncultured bacterium. RNAcentral's name for it is "partial 16S ribosomal RNA". It matches the Rfam family "Bacterial small subunit ribosomal RNA", at positions 28 to 507 of the family's 1533-position model. The record is from RNAcentral.